Molecule: ribosomal RNA, 250 nt
Filed under: uncultured bacterium
Lineage: Bacteria
Description: partial 16S ribosomal RNA
Rfam family: Bacterial small subunit ribosomal RNA
Source: RNAcentral
UGGGGAAUAUUGCACAAUGGGGGAAACCCUGAUGCAGCAACGCCGCGUGAAGGAAGACGGUUUUCGGAUUGUAAACUUCUGUUCUUAGUGAAGAAUAAUGACGGUAGCUAAGGAGCAAGCCACGGCUAACUACGUGCCAGCAGCCGCGGUAAUACGUAGGUGGCAAGCGUUGUCCGGAAUUACUGGGUGUAAAGGGAGCGCAGGCGGGAAGCCAAGUCAGCUGUGAAAACUACAGGCUUAACUUGUAGAC